GUUUUAUAGCAUUUAUACUAGUUAUUUUUGUUUGAAAAUGAAUGUAAAAUAUAUAAAAUAUAAUAUACCCACAAAGAUGAGUGUGAUAAAGAUGUAGAUGUUAAAAUAAACAUCGACAACACAAUAAUGGAUAAAGUUAAUUAAGAAUAUAGUUGUUAGAAAGUGCAUGCAGUGCACAUUGAAUGUAAAAUGAGAUGAUGUUAAUUUAAAU
RNAcentral lists this unclassified non-coding RNA (211 nucleotides) under Hevea brasiliensis (rubber tree). The record is from RNAcentral. Lineage: Eukaryota; Viridiplantae; Streptophyta; Magnoliopsida; Malpighiales; Euphorbiaceae.